GCAAGUCGAACGCAUCCUCGGGAUGAGUGGCAGACGGGUGAGUAACGCGUGGGAAUCUACCUAUCUCUACGGAACAACACAUAGAAAUGUGUGCUAAUACCGUAUACGCCCUUAGGGGGAAAGAUUUAUCGGAGAUAGAUGAGCCCGCGUUGGAUUAGCUAGUUGGUGAGGUAAUGGCUCACCAAGGCGACGAUCUAUAGCUGGUCUGAGAGGAUGAUC
RNAcentral lists this ribosomal RNA (219 nucleotides) under uncultured bacterium. Its description in RNAcentral is "partial 16S ribosomal RNA". It matches the Rfam family "Bacterial small subunit ribosomal RNA", at positions 57 to 305 of the family's 1533-position model. The record is from RNAcentral.